RNAcentral lists this ribosomal RNA (253 nucleotides) under uncultured bacterium. RNAcentral's name for it is "partial 16S ribosomal RNA". It matches the Rfam family "Bacterial small subunit ribosomal RNA", at positions 524 to 776 of the family's 1533-position model. The record is from RNAcentral.
UACGUAGGGUGCAAGCGUUGUCCGGAAUUAUUGGGCGUAAAGAGCUCGUAGGCGGCUUGUCACGUCGACUGUGAAAACCCGGGGCUCAACUCCGGGCCUGCAGUCGAUACGGGCUGGCUUGAGUGCGGUAGGGGAGACUGGAAUUCCUGGUGUAGCGGUGAAAUGCGCAGAUAUCAGGAGGAACACCUAUUGCGAAGGCAGCUCGCUGGGACGUAACUGACGCUGAGACGCGAAAGCGUGGGGAGCAAACAGG